RNAcentral lists this ribosomal RNA (91 nucleotides) under Eleutherococcus leucorrhizus. RNAcentral's name for it is "partial 5.8S ribosomal RNA". It matches the Rfam family "5.8S ribosomal RNA", at positions 66 to 154 of the family's 154-position model. Rfam says of the family: 5.8S ribosomal RNA (5.8S rRNA) is a component of the large subunit of the eukaryotic ribosome. It is transcribed by RNA polymerase I as part of the 45S precursor that also contains 18S and 28S rRNA. The record is from RNAcentral. Lineage: Eukaryota; Viridiplantae; Streptophyta; Magnoliopsida; Apiales; Araliaceae.
UGUGAAUUGCAGAAUCCCGUGAACCAUCGAGUCUUUGAACGCAAGUUGCGCCCGAAGCCAUUAGGCCGAGGGCACGUCUGCCUGGGCGUCA